Callorhinus ursinus (northern fur seal) is the source of this 248-nucleotide non-coding RNA. The record is from RefSeq and is a predicted model, not a curated record. Lineage: Eukaryota; Metazoa; Chordata; Mammalia; Carnivora; Otariidae.
GGGCGCCCGGGCCGCCGCGUCACACACAGCUGAGCCCACAGAGGCCCGGCAAGCGGGCGCCCCGUGGCGGAGUGAGCGGAAGCUGCAGCCUGGGACCCGACGGAUCCAGAGGCCCUUAUCACUCCUCCAUAAGUGAAAUCAGACAAAGUGGAAAGAUGGAUUCCAGCUCAAUUCUGAAGAAAAUGAAUAACCUGAUUUAAGAUCCAGCCGCCAUCUUGACCAACAGGCAAAACACAUUUCCACACAUC